GAGGGUAUAGCUCAGUGGUAGAAUGCUUGCUUAGCAUGCACGAGGUCCUGGGUUCAAUCCCCAGUACCUCCA
Molecule: transfer RNA, 72 nt
Filed under: Camelus bactrianus (Bactrian camel)
Lineage: Eukaryota; Metazoa; Chordata; Mammalia; Artiodactyla; Camelidae
Also listed under: 2 other names
Rfam family: tRNA
About the family: Transfer RNA (tRNA) molecules are approximately 80 nucleotides in length.
Source: Rfam by way of RNAcentral